This 2833-nucleotide ribosomal RNA is filed under the name Escherichia coli. RNAcentral's name for it is "partial 23S ribosomal RNA". It matches the Rfam family "Bacterial large subunit ribosomal RNA". The record is from RNAcentral. Lineage: Bacteria; Pseudomonadati; Pseudomonadota; Gammaproteobacteria; Enterobacterales; Enterobacteriaceae.
GGGUUGUGAGGUUAAGCGACUAAGCGUACACGGUGGAUGCCCUGGCAGUCAGAGGCGAUGAAGGACGUGCUAAUCUGCGAUAAGCGUCGGUAAGGUGAUAUGAACCGUUAUAACCGGCGAUUUCCGAAUGGGGAAACCCAGUGUGUUUCGACACACUAUCAUUAACUGAAUCCAUAGGUUAAUGAGGCGAACCGGGGGAACUGAAACAUCUAAGUACCCCGAGGAAAAGAAAUCAACCGAGAUUCCCCCAGUAGCGGCGAGCGAACGGGGAGGAGCCCAGAGCCUGAAUCAGUGUGUGUGUUAGUGGAAGCGUCUGGAAAGGCGCGCGAUACAGGGUGACAGCCCCGUACACAAAAAUGCACAUGCUGUGAGCUCGAUGAGUAGGGCGGGACACGUGGUAUCCUGUCUGAAUAUGGGGGGACCAUCCUCCAAGGCUAAAUACUCCUGACUGACCGAUAGUGAACCAGUACCGUGAGGGAAAGGCGAAAAGAACCCCGGCGAGGGGAGUGAAAAAGAACCUGAAACCGUGUACGUACAAGCAGUGGGAGCACAGAGCAAUCUGUGUGACUGCGUACCUUUUGUAUAAUGGGUCAGCGACUUAUAUUCUGUAGCAAGGUUAACCGAAUAGGGGAGCCGAAGGGAAACCGAGUCUUAACUGGGCGUUAAGUUGCAGGGUAUAGACCCGAAACCCGGUGAUCUAGCCAUGGGCAGGUUGAAGGUUGGGUAACACUAACUGGAGGACCGAACCGACUAAUGUUGAAAAAUUAGCGGAUGACUUGUGGCUGGGGGUGAAAGGCCAAUCAAACCGGGAGAUAGCUGGUUCUCCCCGAAAGCUAUUUAGGUAGCGCCUCGUGAAUUCAUCUCCGGGGGUAGAGCACUGUUUCGGCAAGGGGGUCAUCCCGACUUACCAACCCGAUGCAAACUGCGAAUACCGGAGAAUGUUAUCACGGGAGACACACGGCGGGUGCUAACGUCCGUCGUGAAGAGGGAAACAACCCAGAGCGCCAGCUAAGGUCCCAAAGUCAUGGUUAAGUGGGAAACGAUGUGGGAAGGCCCAGACAGCCAGGAUGUUGGCUUAGAAGCAGCCAUCAUUUAAAGAAAGCGUAAUAGCUCACUGGUCGAGUCGGCCUGCGCGGAAGAUGUAACGGGGCUAAACCAUGCACCGAAGCUGCGGCAGCGACGCUGAUGCGUUGUUGGGUAGGGGAGCGUUCUGUAAGCCUGUGAAGGUGUGCUGUGAGGCAUGCUGGAGGUAUCAGAAGUGCGAAUGCUGACAUAAGUAACGAUAAAGCGGGUGAAAAGCCCGCUCGCCGGAAGACCAAGGGUUCCUGUCCAACGUUAAUCGGGGCAGGGUGAGUCGACCCCUAAGGCGAGGCCGAAAGGCGUAGUCGAUGGGAAACAGGUUAAUAUUCCUGUACUUGGUGUUACUGCGAAGGGGGGACGGAGAAGGCUAUGUUGGCCGGGCGACGGUUGUCCCGGUUUAAGCGUGUAGGCUGGUUUUCCAGGCAAAUCCGGAAAACUAAGGCUGAGGCGUGAUGACGAGGCACUACGGUGCUGAAGCAACAAAUGCCCUGCUUCCAGGAAAAGCCUCUAAGCAUCAGGUAACAUCAAAUCGUACCCCAAACCGACACAGGUGGUCAGGUAGAGAAUACCAAGGCGCUUGAGAGAACUCGGGUGAAGGAACUAGGCAAAAUGGUGCCGUAACUUCGGGAGAAGGCACGCUGAUAUGUAGGUGAAGUCCCUCGCGGAUGGAGCUGAAAUCAGUCGAAGAUACCAGCUGGCUGCAACUGUUUAUUAAAAACACAGCACUGUGCAAACACGAAAGUGGACGUAUACGGUGUGACGCCUGCCCGGUGCCGGAAGGUUAAUUGAUGGGGUCAGCGCAAGCGAAGCUCUUGAUCGAAGCCCCGGUAAACGGCGGCCGUAACUAUAACGGUCCUAAGGUAGCGAAAUUCCUUGUCGGGUAAGUUCCGACCUGCACGAAUGGCGUAAUGAUGGCCAGGCUGUCUCCACCCGAGACUCAGUGAAAUUGAACUCGCUGUGAAGAUGCAGUGUACCCGCGGCAAGACGGAAAGACCCCGUGAACCUUUACUAUAGCUUGACACUGAACAUUGAGCCUUGAUGUGUAGGAUAGGUGGGAGGCUUUGAAGUGUGGACGCCAGUCUGCAUGGAGCCGACCUUGAAAUACCACCCUUUAAUGUUUGAUGUUCUAACGUUGACCCGUAAUCCGGGUUGCGGACAGUGUCUGGUGGGUAGUUUGACUGGGGCGGUCUCCUCCUAAAGAGUAACGGAGGAGCACGAAGGUUGGCUAAUCCUGGUCGGACAUCAGGAGGUUAGUGCAAUGGCAUAAGCCAGCUUGACUGCGAGCGUGACGGCGCGAGCAGGUGCGAAAGCAGGUCAUAGUGAUCCGGUGGUUCUGAAUGGAAGGGCCAUCGCUCAACGGAUAAAAGGUACUCCGGGGAUAACAGGCUGAUACCGCCCAAGAGUUCAUAUCGACGGCGGUGUUUGGCACCUCGAUGUCGGCUCAUCACAUCCUGGGGCUGAAGUAGGUCCCAAGGGUAUGGCUGUUCGCCAUUUAAAGUGGUACGCGAGCUGGGUUUAGAACGUCGUGAGACAGUUCGGUCCCUAUCUGCCGUGGGCGCUGGAGAACUGAGGGGGGCUGCUCCUAGUACGAGAGGACCGGAGUGGACGCAUCACUGGUGUUCGGGUUGUCAUGCCAAUGGCACUGCCCGGUAGCUAAAUGCGGAAGAGAUAAGUGCUGAAAGCAUCUAAGCACGAAACUUGCCCCGAGAUGAGUUCUCCCUGACUCCUUGAGAGUCCUGAAGGAACGUUGAAG